AUUUUCGGGAGAUACCUAUUAAGUUUGGUAGCCGAAGAAGCAAGUGUUUAUUUUGCCAAAUAAAUAUGAAACUCUCAGGCAAAAGGACCGAAAAUG
This 96-nucleotide non-coding RNA is filed under the name uncultured Clostridium sp. RNAcentral's name for it is "Glycine riboswitch". It matches the Rfam family "Glycine riboswitch aptamer". From Rfam's summary of the family: This family represents the bacterial glycine riboswitch. Glycine riboswitches usually consist of two metabolite-binding aptamers domains with similar structures in tandem. Lineage: Bacteria; Bacillati; Bacillota; Clostridia; Eubacteriales; Clostridiaceae. The record is from RNAcentral.